This 253-nucleotide ribosomal RNA is filed under the name uncultured bacterium. RNAcentral's name for it is "partial 16S ribosomal RNA". It matches the Rfam family "Bacterial small subunit ribosomal RNA", at positions 524 to 776 of the family's 1533-position model. The record is from RNAcentral.
UACGGGGGGGGCAAGCGUUGUUCGGAAUUACUGGGCGUAAAGGGCUCGUAGGUGGCCAACUAAGUCGGAAGUGAAAUCCCUCGGCUUAACCGGGGAACUGCGUCCGAUACUGGUUGGCUUGAGUUUGGGAGAGGGAUGCGGAAUUCCAGGUGUAGCGGUGAAAUGCGUAGAUAUCUGGAGGAACACCGGUGGCGAAGGCGGCAUCCUGGACCAAUACUGACGCUGAGGAGCGAAAGCCAGGGGAGCAAACGGG